RNAcentral lists this Y RNA (102 nucleotides) under Prolemur simus (greater bamboo lemur). Its description in RNAcentral is "Y RNA (ENSPSMG00000012113.1)". It matches the Rfam family "Y RNA". Rfam says of the family: Y RNAs are components of the Ro ribonucleoprotein particle (Ro RNP), in association with Ro60 and La proteins. The Y RNAs and Ro60 and La proteins are well conserved, but the function of the Ro RNP is not known. In humans the RNA component can be one of four small RNAs -- hY1, hY3, hY4 and hY5. Lineage: Eukaryota; Metazoa; Chordata; Mammalia; Primates; Lemuridae. The record is from Rfam by way of RNAcentral.
GGCUGGUCCGGGUGCAGUGGUGUUUGCAACUAAUUGAUCACAAGGAGCUACAGGUUCCUCUGUUCCUUCUCCACUCCCACUGCUUCACUGGACCAGCCUAAA